This 75-nucleotide transfer RNA is filed under the name Sphaerodactylus townsendi. RNAcentral's name for it is "tRNA-Ala". It matches the Rfam family "tRNA". Rfam says of the family: Transfer RNA (tRNA) molecules are approximately 80 nucleotides in length. Their secondary structure includes four short double-helical elements and three loops (D, anti-codon, and T loops). The record is from RNAcentral. Lineage: Eukaryota; Metazoa; Chordata; Lepidosauria; Squamata; Sphaerodactylidae.
GGAGGGCUUGUGGCUCAGCGGCAGAGCAAUUGCUCGGCAUGUAGAAGGUGCCCGGUUCAAUUCCCGGCAUCUCCA